RNAcentral lists this ribosomal RNA (253 nucleotides) under uncultured bacterium. RNAcentral's name for it is "partial 16S ribosomal RNA". It matches the Rfam family "Bacterial small subunit ribosomal RNA", at positions 524 to 776 of the family's 1533-position model. The record is from RNAcentral.
UACGAAGGGGGCUAGCGUUGCUUGGAAUCACUGGGCGUAAAGGGCGCGUAGGCGGCGUUUUAAGUCGGGGGUGAAAGCCUGUGGCUCAACCACAGAAUGGCCUUCGAUACUGGGACGCUUGAGUAUGGUAGAGGUUGGUGGAACUGCGAGUGUAGAGGUGAAAUUCGUAGAUAUUCGCAAGAACACCGGUGGCGAAGGCGGCCAACUGGACCAUUACUGACGCUGAGGCGCGAAGGCGUGGGGAGCAAACGGG